RNAcentral lists this ribosomal RNA (177 nucleotides) under uncultured bacterium. RNAcentral describes it as "partial 16S ribosomal RNA". It matches the Rfam family "Bacterial small subunit ribosomal RNA", at positions 162 to 351 of the family's 1533-position model. The record is from RNAcentral.
GGUAAUACGGGAUGUGCCCUGAGGGGGAAAGGUCUUCGGACCGGCAGGAGAUCGGCCCGCGUCUGAUUAGGUAGUUGGUGGGGUAACGGCCCWCCAAGCCGACGAUCGGUAGCUGGUUUGAGAGGAUGAUCAGCAACACUGGGACUGAGACACGGCCCAGACUCCUACGGGAGGCAG